Phymastichus coffea is the source of this 390-nucleotide long non-coding RNA. RefSeq lists it as uncharacterized. The transcript is spliced from 3 exons. NCBI's taxonomy places the organism in Eukaryota, Metazoa, Arthropoda, Insecta, Hymenoptera, Eulophidae. The record is from RefSeq and is a predicted model, not a curated record.
UCCUCAAAAUCACCACCGAAUGACAUUCAGCCGUUGCCGCCGCCAAGUAGUAAAGAACCGUUGUCGCCGCCAAGUAAUGAAGAACCGUUGUCGCUGCCCAAUCAUAAUGAACAAGUGGUCCACCCGCCGAUUCCAAUGGCCCAUUGGAAUGGGCCAUAUGAAAAUAACCCGCCCAUUCCAUUGGGUCAUUGGAAUGGACAAAAUAAUAGACGUGGGCGAUGGCAGCAUGGUCGACAACCCUACAAUGAUGAAUACGAGGAAAGGGGCACCUCAAUUUCAAAAUUGAAAUAUAAAUUAACAGCGAAAAGGCGAAGCACCCGCUAUUGGCGAAGCCAGGCCAACUAUUGGAAAACCCAAUACGAGGCUCUUGCCAGCCAUACAAAUUCGAGC